AUGGCCUCGCGGCCGCCGCAUCCCCGCCGGAUUCGGCCCAUCGCCGCGGCCUCCCUGGUGCUGUUCCUCCUCUUCCUCUACACCCGCCCGGAUGGGAACCGUCCGCGGCUCCCGGGCUCCGAUUCGCGCCCGCUCCGCCGCGGGCUCCUCUCCGGCGCCGAUCCCGCCAGCCCCGCCGCGUCCAGAGGCGGGAACCUCUCGGAGGUCACCGGCCUGAACGGCGAGCAGCUGGAGGACCCCUCCACCGCGUGCGCCGGCAUCGCGCGCCACGAGGGUUUCGGGUCCCAGUGCGAGUUCCUCCGGGCGCACCCGCAGUGCAGCUCCGGCGGGUUCGUCGACUACCUGGAUUUCUUUUACUGUCGGUGCGAGAGGUUCAGGCUGCUUGGCUAUGCCGUCCUUGCCGUGUGCCUGGCGGCGCUGUUCUACAUGCUCGGUAACACGGCCGCGGACUACUUCUGCUGCAGCCUCGAGAAGAUGUCCGCCCUGCUGCGGCUCCCGCCGACCGUGGCUGGUGUUACCUUGCUCCCCUUUGGUAAUGGUGCUCCUGAUGUGUUUGCCAGUAUUGCAGCGUUUAUGGGGUCUGGCGCCGGGGAUGUGGGGCUGAACAGCGUGCUGGGCGGAGCGGUGUUUGUUACCUGCGUUGUUGUUGGGGCAGUGUCAUUGUCCGUCGCGGAGAAGAAUGUGCAGAUUGAUUGGAGGUGCUUUGUGAGGGAUGUUGGAUUCUUCCUGAUCACCUUGGUGGCACUGUCUAUUAUGUUGAUUGUCGGGAAGGUGACCGUUUGGGGAGCUAUGCUGUUUGUAUCGAUUUAUGUGGUUUAUGCAUUUGUGGUGGCCGCAAAUGAGUUAUUAAGGAAGCACGCACGGAUGCUGAAGUUUGAUGUAGUCACACCAUUGCUUCCUGUGAGGGGAAGUAUCUUCUCACACGGGCUAGAGGAGGAUGAUUCUGUGUACAGUUCACUUCUUGAGGAGGAUACAAGUGAUGAGGCGGCCCAGGUAAACACAUCAUUGCCGCAGUGGAUGUGGGCUUCUCAUGUGGCUAUCUACUCAAAUCAGGGGAGAGAUGGUUCGCCUGACAGGCCUUUGUGGGGUUGGAAUGAAGAAGGCAGAGUGGAUACGUCCACGCUUAACUACUCCAAAAUGUUUCUGUUUUUGGAGCUACCCUUGACAAUACCAAGAAAGUUGACGAUUCCAAUAGUUGAGGAAGACCGCUGGUCACAAGAAUAUGCUGUUGCCAGUGCUGGCUUGGCACCUCUACUCUUAUCAUUUCUGUGGAACAGCCAGGAUGGAGUAUCCACGGGUGCCAGGGUAGCAGCAUAUGUGAUAGCUGGUAUUUUUGGGAUUGCACUUGCAGGUCUUGCUUUUACAUUCACCAGUCCUGACCGCCCUCCAAGGAGAUACUUACUCCCAUGGGUGUUUGGAGGGUUUGUGAUGAGCAUCGUUUGGUUCUACAUCAUUGCCAAUGAGCUGGUUGCACUGUUGGUUGCAUUUGGGGUGAUACUUGGGAUUAAUCCUUCAAUCCUUGGCUUAACGGUGCUAGCAUGGGGCAAUUCGAUGGGUGACUUGAUGUCAAAUGUGGCCUUGGCAAUGAAUGGAGGAGACGGUGUACAGAUUGCUAUGUCUGGCUGUUAUGCAGGGCCUAUGUUCAACACACUUGCCGGCUUAGGAAUAUCAAUGCUGCUUGGAGCUUGGUCGACAGCACCCAACUCUUACGUUCUUCCACAGGACCGCUCUCUUAUUUACACGAUGAGCUUCCUGGUUGCUGGGUUGGUCUGGGCGCUUGUCACGCUGCCACGGAGCGGCAUGCGGCCUAACAAGACGCUUGGGGUUGGCCUCAUUGCUCUUUACUCAGUUUUCCUUUUCAUUAGAGUAAGCAGUGCUAUGGGGAUAUUGCCACUCCCGGGCUUGAAUUAG
This 1911-nucleotide ribosomal RNA is filed under the name Triticum aestivum (bread wheat). Its description in RNAcentral is "partial small subunit ribosomal RNA". The record is from RNAcentral. Lineage: Eukaryota; Viridiplantae; Streptophyta; Magnoliopsida; Poales; Poaceae.